CGUUGUUUAUAACAACAGCCAAUAUUUCCGCAAUCUGAAAGGAAUGCCUUAGGGCGAUUGCACAUUAAUUAAAUCAACUUUCUUUAUUUCACCCCAAAUGGGAAUUGCUUCCCUAUUGGUGGCAAUUCCCUUUUUUAACAGGAAUUGCCUAUGAAAAAGGAAUUAAUAGGUCGUA
This 175-nucleotide small RNA is filed under the name Proteus vulgaris. RNAcentral describes it as "STAXI". It matches the Rfam family "STAXI RNA". Lineage: Bacteria; Pseudomonadati; Pseudomonadota; Gammaproteobacteria; Enterobacterales; Morganellaceae. The record is from RNAcentral.